This 279-nucleotide ribosomal RNA is filed under the name uncultured bacterium. RNAcentral's name for it is "partial 16S ribosomal RNA". It matches the Rfam family "Bacterial small subunit ribosomal RNA", at positions 506 to 784 of the family's 1533-position model. The record is from RNAcentral.
UGCCAGCCGCCGCGGUAAUGCGAAGGGGGCUAGCGUUGUUCGGAAUCACUGGGCGUAAAGCGCGCGUAGGCGGAUUGGAAAGUUGGGGGUGAAAUCCCGGGGCUCAACCCCGGAACUGCCUCCAAUACUACUAAUCUUGAGUUCGGAAGAGGUGAGUGGAAUUCCUAGUGUAGAGGUGAAAUUCGUAGAUAUUAGGAAGAACAUCAGUGGCGAAGGCGACUCACUGGUCCGAUACUGACGCUGAGGUGCGAAAGCGUGGGGAGCAAACAGGAUUAGAUA